UACGUAGGGCGCAAGCGUUGUUCGGAAUUACUGGGCGUAAAGGGCGCGUAGGCGGCACGGCAAGUCAGGAGUGAAAGGCCUGGGCUCAACCGAGGAACUGCUUUUGAGACUGCCGAGCUAGAGUGCAGAAGGGGCAACUGGAAUUCCCAGUGUAGCGGUGAAAUGCGUAGAUAUUGGGAAGAACACCUGAGGCGAAGGCGGGUUGCUGGGCUGACACUGACGCUGAGGCGCGAAAGCCAGGGGAGCAAACGGG
This 253-nucleotide ribosomal RNA is filed under the name uncultured bacterium. RNAcentral describes it as "partial 16S ribosomal RNA". It matches the Rfam family "Bacterial small subunit ribosomal RNA", at positions 524 to 776 of the family's 1533-position model. The record is from RNAcentral.